This is a small nucleolar RNA of Macadamia integrifolia, 86 nucleotides long. RefSeq annotates it as small nucleolar RNA snoR20a. Lineage: Eukaryota; Viridiplantae; Streptophyta; Magnoliopsida; Proteales; Proteaceae. The record is from RefSeq and is a predicted model, not a curated record. The transcript has a single exon.
GCCAAGGAUGAGAGAGAAAAUCUGAAUCUGAACUUCUUGUGUUUGCAUGGUGCUGAAAAUGCGUGAGAACUAGGACGGUCUGAGGC